Molecule: ribosomal RNA, 432 nt
Filed under: uncultured bacterium
Lineage: Bacteria
Description: bacterial SSU rRNA
Rfam family: Bacterial small subunit ribosomal RNA
Source: RNAcentral
AACAACGCUGGCGGCAGGCCUAACACAUGCAAGUCGAGCGAACCCUUCGGGGUUAGCGGCGGACGGGUUAGUAACGCGUGGGAAUAUACCCUUUGGUACGGAAUAGCCUCGGGAAACUGAGAGUAAUACCGUAUGUGCCCUUCGGGGGAAAGAUUUAUCGCCAAAGGAUUAGCCCGCGUUGGAUUAGAUAGUUGGUGGGGUAAUGGCCUACCAAGUCUACGAUCCAUAGCUGGUUUGAGAGGAUGAUCAGCAACACUGGGACUGAGACACGGCCCAGACUCCUACGGGAGGCAGCAGUGGGGAAUCUUAGACAAUGGGCGCAAGCCUGAUCUAGCCAUGCCGCGUGGACGACGAAGGCCUUAGGGUUGUAAAGUCCUUUCAGAUGGGAAGAUAAUGACGGUACCAUCAGAAGAAGCCCCGGCUAACUCCGUG